CGGAAAGUAGCAUAAAGUAAGUGUGUUCUGUUUACACCAGAAAGGUGGUUUAAUUUUAACCUUUUUCUU
RNAcentral lists this transfer RNA (69 nucleotides) under Meretrix lusoria. Its description in RNAcentral is "tRNA-Val". The record is from RNAcentral. Lineage: Eukaryota; Metazoa; Mollusca; Bivalvia; Venerida; Veneridae.